CAGCAAUGGCGCCCUGCUUCCCUUGCGGGCCCAGGCUUCCUCCGGGGUCCCCUCGGCUGUGGCCUUUGGCUCCCCAGCCCCUCAGACUGUCCCCUCACAGCCUACCGCAGCCCUCUCCCCGGCACCGGCCUCCAGAGCCUGCGUCUCAGCACCCAGCCCCCGCCCGAGCAUCUCCGGCCGCGGCGGUGGUGCAGGUGGUAGAUGGUCUGUGCGGCUCCAGCGCUGCCUGGUUCUCCUCCGACCAGCUGCUGUGCUUUUCUCCACGACGUUGAGGUCCCUCCGUCUCCGCUGAUGUCCCGUCGGUCAGGUGGCCUCCCAGAAUGUGGUGUCUCAGUGGAUAUCGCCUCUGAGGGGGACAGACAGAUGGACAUGGAGGCCCUCCCAGAGGAAGACCCACAGGACGUGAUCUCUGUUCAGCAACACUGAGAUUCCCUGAUGGGGAGUGUGGAUUCAGAGUUCUCCUGCACCCUUGAGGAAUCCUUGUGAUAGCCCUGUGUGUAUAUCACCCUCCCCUGGUCUUGAGUGCAGAGCCAGAACUGGCCAUGUGGACUCCAGCGCUUAAGGGCCCCUUAAGGAAGAUGCGGCGUCCCACUCGUGUCCCCCACAGCAGCAGCAUCUUGGAGCUCCCCAAAGACUCAAGAAUAGAGAAGCCUUGUCACCUGUCAAGAAAUUCUGGGAUGCAUCGCAUCCCUCAACCGAUUCCUGGUUCCUUCUGUUUUUAUCCCCUCAUUUGCUUAUUUAACAGAUAUUCGCAGAAGUUGACUCUUCCUUUGCACCUGUGCUGAGGAGGGACAGAUCAGUAGGACACAGCUCCUGGUCUUAAGGAGUGCCUGGCCUCCUGAGAGAGGCAAACCUUAUGAUCGCUUGGACCCUUAGAAAGCAAAGAGGGGGUGAGCUACUGGAGCAGGGGAAGGAUGAUGUGGGCGACACAGGAAUACUCAUCCGGGUGCAUUUAAGGAGGACCCACAGGUACCCAACGCAAGGAGAAGUCAAGAAGACAUAGGAGUCAAACUGGGCGGGAGGGAGUUCCUGGUGGCAUUUUGCUCCAAUGCUCUAGGUUUUGUGUGAGCUGAAGCCUUCAGAGCAGCAAAAGGCGAACAAGAAAGAUUCUUUGUAAAGGAACCAAAUUGCAACUAUUUGACCAGAAGAAGGAUUUCUCUUGGGGAGGGGAAUGGUGCAGAGGGUGUUUGGGGGGGGUAUGGUUUCCCUCUAGUUUUGGUGAAUUUCACUUUUUAGUUAUGCAAUGAAAAGAAAUAGAAUACAAUAUAACGAGAUGGGAGUGGCAGGAGAGGAAUUGGAGUUGGUAUUAAAGUAGAUGCGAAUGAUUACAUUUGAGAUGGAUGAGCAGUGAGGUCCUACAGUACAGCACAGGGGACUCUGUCCAGUCUCUUGGGAGAGACUAUGAUGGAAGAUAAUAGGAGAAAAAGAAUUUGUGUGACUGGGGCACUCUGCUGCACAGCAGAAAUUGGCACAACACUGUAAUAAAAAACCAAAAAAAAUACAAAAAAAUUCAGUUCAGUUUUGGCACCAGGACGUAGAGAAGAAAGUUAAUGGCAGGGCCAGUGAAAUACAGCACAGUGGUUUGGAGUGGAGAGUAGGAGUAAGAGAGGGAAAUCGAGCAUGCGUGUUGAUUGAUGGAAAGAAAUAUGGGGAGCGCAUAAUGUGGAUGAUAUUGGGGAGUGACCAUCAGUGGGACAGGGUAGCAUUGAGAGCCCCGACUCGGGAAUAGAUGGGUUAACCUGGGUUCAGAUUUCUCCUUCUGUACCCACUUGCUGCACGGUCACGCACACACUUCAAAAUGAUUCUCUGAGCCAGAAGGACACUUGUCAUUGAUGGAGGAGGAAAUCCAAGCUCAUGCGAGCACGGGCUAAGAUGCAAUCUUUUCGGAAUUAGAGAAAUAAAGAUUCCAACAACGACAUGCCGUUGCUUCCCUUCCAUCUGCUAUGAUGGAAUUGCGGCCACCUCCAAACUCCUAUGUCAAAUGUCGCAACCCCCAGGACCUCAGAAUGGGGCCUUCUUUGGAAAUGAGGUCAUCGCAAGUGUGCUUACCCAGGAUGAAGACAUACUGGAGCAGGACGGCUUCUCACCCAGCAUGACUUGUGUCCUUAUUUAAAAACAAGGAAACGAUGGAGUUCCUGUUGUGGUGCAGCGGAAAUGAAUCUGACCGGAACCAUGAGGUUGCAGGUUCCAUCACUGUGUCCUCGCUCCGUGGGUUAAGGAUCUGGUGUUGCCGUGAGCCGUGGUGCAGGUCGGAGACGUGGCUUGGAUCCCGCGUUGCCGUGGCUAUGGCGUAGGCUGGCGGGGGCAGCUCUGAUUCUACCCCUAGCCUAGGAACCUCCAUAUGCCGCGGGGGAGGCCCUAAAAAGAAAAAAAAAAAAAUGUAAAAAAAGGAAAUUGUGACACAGACAUGCACAGAGGGACAGCACGGUGUGAACCUGAAGGUGGAGAUUGGAGUGGUGUAUCCAUGAGCCAAGGAGCCCCAAAGCCUGCCAGCCAGCCACCAGGACCCGGGAGAGAGAUGUGUGCCUGGUUUCCCCCCACAGUUCUCAGAAGGAACCUCCUGCCAGCACCCCGAUCUCAGACUUCCACCUUCCAGAACCAUGACACAGGACCCUUCCAUGUCCAGGCUACUCCGUUUGCCAUACUUUGUUAUGGCAGCCCUAGCCGGCUAGUCCAUCCUCGGGCUGGCAGAGGUUAGAAGGCUGGGGAGUCCCAUGUCUUGUGGGUGUUGGGGUGGUAUGGGGACCCUCUGGCACUGUUGUGGGGGGAAGAAACUGGUGCAGUGAAUCCUGGGUGCAAUUUGGUACUACGUAAAUUAAAGAUAUACC
This 2828-nucleotide long non-coding RNA is filed under the name Sus scrofa (pig). RNAcentral describes it as "lncRNA (ENSSSCG00050055615.1)". Lineage: Eukaryota; Metazoa; Chordata; Mammalia; Artiodactyla; Suidae. The record is from RNAcentral.